Transfer RNA from Beta vulgaris subsp. vulgaris (sugar beet), 72 nucleotides. It matches the Rfam family "tRNA". From Rfam's summary of the family: Transfer RNA (tRNA) molecules are approximately 80 nucleotides in length. Their secondary structure includes four short double-helical elements and three loops (D, anti-codon, and T loops). The record is from Rfam. Lineage: Eukaryota; Viridiplantae; Streptophyta; Magnoliopsida; Caryophyllales; Amaranthaceae.
UCUUCAGUAGCUUAGUGGUAGAGCGGUCGGCCAUUAACUGAUUGGUCGUAGGUUCAAAUCGUACUUGAAGAG